This 467-nucleotide ribosomal RNA is filed under the name uncultured bacterium. RNAcentral's name for it is "partial 16S ribosomal RNA". It matches the Rfam family "Bacterial small subunit ribosomal RNA", at positions 29 to 507 of the family's 1533-position model. The record is from RNAcentral.
ACGAACGCUGGCGGCGUGCUUAACACAUGCAAGUCGAACGGAAAGGCCCUGCUUUUGUGGGGUGCUCGCGUGGCGAACGGGUGAGUAACACGUGAGUAACCUGCCCUUGACUUUGGGAUAACUUCAGGAAACUGGGGCUAAUACCGGAUAGGAGCUCCUGCUGCAUGGUGGGGGUUGGAAAGUUUCGGCGGUUGGGGAUGGACGCGCGGCUUAUCAGCUUGUUGGUGGGGUAGUGGCUUACCCAGGCAUUGACGGGUAGCCGGCCUGAGAGGGGGACCUGCCACAUUGGGACGGAGAUACGGCCCAGUGUCCGAUGUGAGACAGCAGUGGGGAAUAUUGCACAAUGGGCGGAAGCCUGAGGCAGCAACGUUGCGUUCGGGAUGACGGCUUUUGGGGUGUAAACCGCUUUCGCCUGUGACGAAGCGUUACUGACGGUAAUGGGUAAAGAAGCACCGGCUAACUACGUG